This 90-nucleotide transfer RNA is filed under the name Rhodospirillaceae bacterium. RNAcentral's name for it is "tRNA-Ser". It matches the Rfam family "tRNA". Rfam says of the family: Transfer RNA (tRNA) molecules are approximately 80 nucleotides in length. Their secondary structure includes four short double-helical elements and three loops (D, anti-codon, and T loops). Lineage: Bacteria; Pseudomonadati; Pseudomonadota; Alphaproteobacteria; Rhodospirillales; Rhodospirillaceae. The record is from RNAcentral.
GGAGAGGUGGCAGAGCGGUUGAUUGCACCAGUCUUGAAAACUGGCAAACCUUCACGGGUUUCGGGGGUUCAAAUCCCCCUCUCUCCUCCA